Molecule: ribosomal RNA, 253 nt
Filed under: uncultured bacterium
Lineage: Bacteria
Description: partial 16S ribosomal RNA
Rfam family: Bacterial small subunit ribosomal RNA
Source: RNAcentral
UACAGAGGGUGCGAGCGUUAAUCGGAAUUACUGGGCGUAAAGGGUGCGUAGGUGGUUGCAUAAGUUAGGUGUGAAAGUCCUGGGCUUAACCUGGGGACUGCGCCUAAGACUGUGUAGCUAGAGUACUGUAGAGGGAGGUGGGAUUUCCAGUGCAGCGGUGAAAUGCGUAGAUAUUGGAAGGAACAUCGGUGGCGAAGGCGACCUCCUGGACAGAUACUGACACUGAGGCACGAGAGCAUGGGGAGCAAACAGG